GUCUCAGGCCGUAUCAGCCUGAAGGCGCCCGAUCUCGUCUGGUCUCGGAAGCUAAGCAGGGUCGGGCCUGGUUAGGAUCUUUGGAUGGGAGACCACCUGGGAAUCCCGGGUGCUCGAGGCU
RNAcentral lists this ribosomal RNA (121 nucleotides) under Bison bison bison. Lineage: Eukaryota; Metazoa; Chordata; Mammalia; Artiodactyla; Bovidae. The record is from RNAcentral.